RNAcentral lists this ribosomal RNA (253 nucleotides) under uncultured bacterium. Its description in RNAcentral is "partial 16S ribosomal RNA". It matches the Rfam family "Bacterial small subunit ribosomal RNA", at positions 524 to 776 of the family's 1533-position model. The record is from RNAcentral.
UACGUAGGGUGCGAGCGUUGUCCGGAAUUAUUGGGCGUAAAGAGCUUGUAGGCGGUCUGUCGCGUCGGCUGUGAAAUCCCGAGGCUCAACCUCGGGUCUGCAGUCGAUACGAGCAAACUAGAGUGUUGCAGGGGAGACUGGAAUUCCUGGUGUAGCGGUGAAAUGCGCAGAUAUCAGGAGGAACACCGAUGGCGAAGGCAGGUCUCUGGGCAUUAACUGACGCUGAGGAGCGAAAGCAUGGGGAGCGAACAGG